AGCAGCCGCGGUAAUUCCAGCUCCAAUAGCGUAUAUUAAAGUUGUUGCAGUUAAAAGCUCAUAGUUGAAUUUCGGGAUUAGUACGUUGGUCGUGCCUUCGGUACGUACUGGUGUUACUGAUUCCUACCUUCUGACGAACCGUCAUGUCAUUAAUUUGAUGUGGCGGGGAAUCAGGACUGUUACUUUGAAAAAUUGAGUGUUUAAAGCAGGCUCGCGCUUGAAUACAUUAGCAUGGAAUAAUGAAAUAGGACGUUCGAUCCUAUUUUGUUGGUUUCUAGGAUUGACGUAAUGAUUAAUAGGGAUAGUUGGGGGCAUUAGUAUUCAAUUGUCAGAGGUGAAAUUCUUGGAUUUAUUGAAGACUAACUACUGCGAAAGCAUUUGCCAAGGAUGUU
This 392-nucleotide ribosomal RNA is filed under the name uncultured Glomeromycotina. RNAcentral describes it as "SSU rRNA". It matches the Rfam family "Eukaryotic small subunit ribosomal RNA", at positions 569 to 968 of the family's 1831-position model. The record is from RNAcentral. Lineage: Eukaryota; Fungi; Glomeromycota.